AUCGCUUCUCGGCCUUUUGGCUAAGAUCAAGUGUAGUAAAAAUAACCACUAUUACUACUGAAUGUAGGCCCUAUAGCCUACUUUUAUUAAAUAUUCAGGGAUUUGCAUUCAUAAAUCUGAAAGCAAAUCAAACCCUA
RNAcentral lists this small nuclear RNA (137 nucleotides) under Fukomys damarensis (Damara mole-rat). RNAcentral describes it as "U2 spliceosomal RNA". It matches the Rfam family "U2 spliceosomal RNA". From Rfam's summary of the family: U2 is a small nuclear RNA (snRNA) component of the spliceosome (involved in pre-mRNA splicing). Complementary binding between U2 snRNA (in an area lying towards the 5' end but 3' to hairpin I) and the branchpoint sequence (BPS) of the intron results the bulging out of an unpaired adenosine, on the BPS, which initiates a nucleophilic attack at the intronic 5' splice site, thus starting the first of two transesterification reactions that mediate splicing. The record is from Rfam by way of RNAcentral. Lineage: Eukaryota; Metazoa; Chordata; Mammalia; Rodentia; Bathyergidae.